UGAGGAAUAGAGAUCUCAAUCCUACUUAGAAACAUAAUGAUGUUUCUUAUUUUUUAUACUUGACGACUAUGAAAAUUAUUAAAAUAGUGAGAGAUACAAUUACAUAAAAGUCCUAAUCUAGUUGUGCAUGUCAUCAUGAGUUGUCCGCUUAUAUUGUGUUUUUGUUAUUGUAGAUUAACUACAUAAAUGGUAUCCUCACUAUCACUUUGAGGUAUAUUAGAUGCUAAUAAAUUGAUCAAAACAACUAUAUAGACUGGUUGAGAAAUUUAAGAAUAGUUCUCAUACAAGAGAAAGUCUCCUAUAUACUGGAUCACCUAUACCCGAUA
Molecule: long non-coding RNA, 326 nt
Filed under: Elaeis guineensis (African oil palm)
Lineage: Eukaryota; Viridiplantae; Streptophyta; Magnoliopsida; Arecales; Arecaceae
Description: long non-coding RNA (EGUI_LNC078975)
Source: RNAcentral